ACCUUCGUGGUGUAGUGGUCAGCAUGCUCGACGCCUAACUGAGAGGUCCGUGGUUCAAUUCCCGACGAAGGCG
This is a non-coding RNA of Stegodyphus mimosarum, 73 nucleotides long. The record is from Rfam. NCBI's taxonomy places the organism in Eukaryota, Metazoa, Arthropoda, Arachnida, Araneae, Eresidae.